RNAcentral lists this ribosomal RNA (467 nucleotides) under uncultured bacterium. Its description in RNAcentral is "partial 16S ribosomal RNA". It matches the Rfam family "Bacterial small subunit ribosomal RNA", at positions 28 to 507 of the family's 1533-position model. The record is from RNAcentral.
GACGAACGCUGGCGGCGUGCUUAACACAUGCAAGUCGAACGGAAAGGCCUCUUUCGGGGGGUGCUCGAGUGGCGAACGGGUGAGUAACACGUGAGUAACCUGCCCUUGACUUUGGGAUAACUUCAGGAAACUGGGGCUAAUACCGGAUAGGAGCUCCUGCUGCAUGGUGGGGGUUGGAAAGUUUCGGCGGUUGGGGAUGGACUCGCGGCUUAUCAGCUUGUUGGUGGGGUAGUGGCUUACCAAGGCUUUGACGGGUAGCCGGCCUGAGAGGGUGACCGGCCACAUUGGGACUGAGAUACGGCCCAGACUCCUACGGGAGGCAGAAGUGGGGAAUAUUGCACAAUGGGUGGAAGCCUGAUGCAGCAACGCCGUGUGCGGGAUGACGGCCUUCGGGUUGUAAACCGCUUUCGCUCAUGACGAAGCUUUGUGUGACGGUAGUGGGUAAAGAAGCACCGGCUAACUACGUG